This is a long non-coding RNA of Octopus bimaculoides (California two-spot octopus), 289 nucleotides long. The record is from RefSeq and is a predicted model, not a curated record. NCBI's taxonomy places the organism in Eukaryota, Metazoa, Mollusca, Cephalopoda, Octopoda, Octopodidae.
ACUUCGUCGAAGGAUCUUUAUGUCAUGUCUACUGGAAUCCAGAAAUGAUAAAUCAAUCGGAAUGUCCAGUACGUGUGACAGCUGGAAACAUGUUCCUAAAUACAAGGACACAAUUGCCUUCUGCAGUACAUACAAAGAAACAGUCAAAAGUUCAACAUGAAUUCUACAUUCUUUCUCAUCAUCUUCGGAAUAGUCAUGUUGCUUGCCGUAGCAGCAGGCGAUAAACAGGAAUGUCGAAUGAGAUGCAUGAAGGAAAAUAUGAAAACUGGAAAUCCUGCAGAACUCAUCG